This 55-nucleotide transfer RNA is filed under the name Anolis lucius. Its description in RNAcentral is "tRNA-Cys". The record is from RNAcentral. Lineage: Eukaryota; Metazoa; Chordata; Lepidosauria; Squamata; Anolidae.
AGCUCCGAAGUGACUUACAUCAAAUUGCAAGUUUGAAGAAGAGCCCUAAAAGGCU